RNAcentral lists this ribosomal RNA (733 nucleotides) under Ochrobactrum sp. Its description in RNAcentral is "bacterial SSU rRNA". It matches the Rfam family "Bacterial small subunit ribosomal RNA", at positions 259 to 991 of the family's 1533-position model. The record is from RNAcentral. Lineage: Bacteria; Pseudomonadati; Pseudomonadota; Alphaproteobacteria; Hyphomicrobiales; Brucellaceae.
AAAGGCUCACCAGGGCGACGAUCCAUAGCUGGUCUGAGAGGAUGAUCACCCACACUGGGACUGAGACACGGCCCACACUCCACGGGAGGCAGCAGUGGGGAAUAUUGGACAAUGGGCGCAAGCCUGAUCCACCCAUGCCGCGUGAGUGAAGGCCCUAGGGUUGUAAAGCUCUUUCACCGGUGAAGAUAAUGACGGUAACCGGAAAAGAACCCCCGGCUACUUCGUGCCAGCAGCCGCGGUAAUACAAAGGGGGCUAGCGUUGUUCGGAUUUACUGGGCGUAAAGCGCACGUAGGCGGACUUUUAAGUCGGGGGUGAAAUCCCGGGGCUCACCCCCGGAACUGCCUUUGAUACUGGAAGUCUUGAGUAUGGUAGAGGUGAGUGGAAUUCCGAGUGUAGAGGUGAAAUUCGUAUAUAUUCGGAAGAACACCAGUGGCGAAGGCGGCUCACUGGACCAUUACUGACGCUGAGGUGCGAAAGCGUGGAGAGCAAACAGGAUUAGAUACCCUGGUACUCCACGCCAUAAACGAUGAAGUGUUAGCCGUUUGGGGAGUUUUACUUCUUUCGGUGGCGCAGCUAAACGCAUAUAAAACACUUCCGCCCUGGGAGAGUACGGGUCGCAAGUAUUAAAAACUCAAAAGGUAUUUGACGGGGGGCCCCCGCACAAAGCGGUGGAGCAUGUUGUUUUAUAAUUUUCGAAGCAACGCGACAGAACUCUAUUACUCAGCCCUCUUU